UGGGGGAUAUUGCACAAUGGGCGAAAGCCUGAUGCAGCGACGCCGCGUGGGGGAUGAAGGCCUUCGGGUUGUAAACUUCUUUUGCUCUGAACAAGGCGCACCAUGGGGUGUGUUGAGUGUAGGGGUUGAUUAGCGCCGGCUAACUACGUGCCAGCAGCCGCGGUAAUACGUAGGGCGCGAGCGUUGUCCGGAAUUAUUGGGCGUAAAGGGCUUGUAGGUGGCUGGUUGCGUCUGUCGUGAAAGCUCAUUGCUUAACUGUGGGUUUGCGGUGGGUACGGGCUGGCUUGAGUGCAGUAGGGGAGGCUGGAAUUCCUGGUGUAGCGGUGGAAUGCGCAGAUAUCAGGAGGAAUACCGGUGGCGAAGGCGGGUCUCUGGGCUGUUACUGACACUGAGGAGCGAAAGCAUGGGGAGCGAACAGG
This 419-nucleotide ribosomal RNA is filed under the name bacterium. Its description in RNAcentral is "partial 16S ribosomal RNA". It matches the Rfam family "Bacterial small subunit ribosomal RNA", at positions 355 to 776 of the family's 1533-position model. The record is from RNAcentral.